AAGACCUUGCGCUUUUGGAGCGGCCGAUGCCUGAUUAGCUUGUUGGUAAGGUAAAAGCUUACCAAGGCUUCGAUCAGUAGCUGGUCUGAGAGGACGACCAGCCACACUGGGACUGAGACACGGCCCAGACUCCUACGGGAGGCAGCAGUGGGGAAUUUUGGACAAUGGGGGCAACCCUGAUCCAGCCAUGCCGCGUGAGUGAAGAAGGCCUUCGGGUUGUAAAGCUCUUUCAGCCGGAACGAAACGGUUACGGUUAAUACCCGUGACUACUGACGGUACCGGAAGAAGAAGCACCGGCUAACUACGUGCCAGCAGCCGCGGUAAUACGUAGGGUGCGAGCGUUAAUCGGAAUUACUGGGCGUAAAGCGUGCGCAGGUAGUUUUGUAAGUCAGAUGUGAAAGCCCCGGGCUCAACCUGGGAACU
Molecule: ribosomal RNA, 423 nt
Filed under: uncultured bacterium
Lineage: Bacteria
Description: bacterial SSU rRNA
Rfam family: Bacterial small subunit ribosomal RNA
Source: RNAcentral